RNAcentral lists this ribosomal RNA (253 nucleotides) under uncultured bacterium. Its description in RNAcentral is "partial 16S ribosomal RNA". It matches the Rfam family "Bacterial small subunit ribosomal RNA", at positions 524 to 776 of the family's 1533-position model. The record is from RNAcentral.
UACGGAGGGUGCGAGCGUUGUCCGGAAUCACUGGGCGUAAAGGGCGCGUAGGCGGCUUGGUAAGUAGGGGGUGAAAUCCUGCGGCUUAACCGCAGGGCUGCCUUCUAAACUGCCAGGCUUGAGCACAGUAGAGGCAGGUGGAAUUCCCGGUGUAGCGGUGGAAUGCGUAGAGAUCGGGAAGAACACCAAUGGCGAAGGCAGCCUCCUGGGCCAAUACUGACACUCAUGCACGAAAGCGUGGGGAGCAAACAGG